GGGUCAGUAGGUUGGUCGUGCCACCGGUACGUACUGGUCUCACUGAUUCCUCCUUCCUGAUGAACCGUAAUGCUAUUAAUUUGGUGUUGCGGGGAAACAGGACUGUUACUUUGAAAAAAUUAGAGUGUUUAAAGCAAGCUAACGCUUGAAUACAUUAGCAUGGAAUAAUGAAAUAGGACGAUCGAUCCUAUUUUGUUGGUUUCUAGGAUUGACGUA
This 216-nucleotide ribosomal RNA is filed under the name Glomeromycotina sp. RNAcentral's name for it is "partial small subunit ribosomal RNA". The stretch from base 40 to 216 matches the Rfam family "Eukaryotic small subunit ribosomal RNA", at positions 686 to 864 of the family's 1831-position model. The record is from RNAcentral. Lineage: Eukaryota; Fungi; Glomeromycota.